AACCGAUAGUGAGGGCACCUCUUUAAUAGGUCUUUGUAUCUCUCCCAUGCAUCAUACAGGGUUUCUAAAUCCAUCUGCACAAAAGAAGAGUUAUCAUUCCUCAACUU
This is a non-coding RNA of Gossypium arboreum, 107 nucleotides long. The record is from Rfam. Lineage: Eukaryota; Viridiplantae; Streptophyta; Magnoliopsida; Malvales; Malvaceae.